AGCGGGAAGAACGAGCAUCAUACCCAUAGCUGUCACUCUUGGCUCGGGACUCGGACUGCUCGUAGUGGCCACCGUGCUGUGCGACUUCGUCGUCAUCCACUUCGACAAAAGGAAGAAACUGUACAGGGCCAAGAAAUACAAGCUCGUCUCGAAAAGAGACAGCUGCAACUUGAAGGUGCCCUUUCCUGGCCUGGACGGGUCAAGAAUCAAGCGCAGGAACCU
Long non-coding RNA from Rhipicephalus microplus (southern cattle tick), 222 nucleotides. NCBI's taxonomy places the organism in Eukaryota, Metazoa, Arthropoda, Arachnida, Ixodida, Ixodidae. The record is from RefSeq and is a predicted model, not a curated record.